UAAACGACUCUCGGCAACGGAUAUCUCGGCUCUCGCAUCGAUGAAGAACGUAGNGAAAUNNGAUACUUGGUGUGAAUUGCAGAAUCCCGUGAACCAUCGAGUCUUUGAACGCAAGUUGCGCCCGAAGCCGUUAGGCCGAGGGCACGUCUGCCUGGGCGUCACAC
RNAcentral lists this ribosomal RNA (164 nucleotides) under Fragaria vesca (wild strawberry). RNAcentral describes it as "5.8S ribosomal RNA". It matches the Rfam family "5.8S ribosomal RNA". Rfam says of the family: 5.8S ribosomal RNA (5.8S rRNA) is a component of the large subunit of the eukaryotic ribosome. It is transcribed by RNA polymerase I as part of the 45S precursor that also contains 18S and 28S rRNA. The record is from RNAcentral. Lineage: Eukaryota; Viridiplantae; Streptophyta; Magnoliopsida; Rosales; Rosaceae.